ACUCGCUUGCUUGCGCUGGGCUUCAGGGCGCCCGGGUGAGUUUUUUUCUCUCCCUCUCGUUUUUUUUUUUUUCCCAGGCUCUCGCGGGUUUCCCCUGCCAGGGAAUCCACUCGCUGUAGUUUUCUAGGGCUCUGGUCCCAGUCCUUUCUGAAGCGCGCUUGCAGGCUGUCUUCCUCAGUCGCCCUCUCCCUGGGUGCUGUUUUGCUGGGCAGCAUCCCAUGCUAGGCUCGGCAGACAUUCUGGCGGUUGGGUUCGGCCCUUACAGCGCUAACACCUGCAGAGUCGAGGCUCCUGCCAAAAGGCAGAAAGCAAAGGAGGAAAAAAUUCAUUGUCAUAAUAGCGAAAAUGAUAAACCUCAGCUGUUUAAGAGAAGAAUGUCUGAGUAGCUGUUGAUUAUCUCCCAUAAUCACAAAACAACUUUUUUUUAAAAAGAAUUUGCACUGUCUGUUAAAACGCGGUCAUUGUUUUGCUUUCAAAUCGAACUUCACGACAGUUAGCAACUUCAAGAACGCUUCCAAAUGGAUAAAUCUUUCCAGAAGAUUUCUUGCUUCAAAACAGCUGCAUUUUUGGAAGAAAGUCCACAACUGACAACUAAGCAAAACCCUCCUGGUGGAUAGCAUAAAUCUGCUUUGUUGAAGCUGCUCAUUUGUCUGAUCUAUGAGUCCAGAAGAUGCAAACUCCCUUCCCAGCUUAUGCAAAAAUACUUCCAGUAAAAACAAGCCCUUUGGCCCUUUUCUUUUGUCAGUCCAGAUUUCAGCAUGUUCUUCGCUUUGUUAUUCAUCAUUUUAUGUAUUUGGACCCAUCCUCAAACAGACUUUAAACCGUUUAAAGGCAAGGAGGGACUCUUUCGUAAACCUUUAAUCCCCUGGCCCAGCUGAGUAGAUGCACAGUGUCUUUUGAUGAUGGUGAUAUGGAAUGAUUAAUAACCACACAAGGCAUUCGGUUGGUCAAGUCACUGUUUAUUGGCUCAAAAUAAUCCUUGGUUUCUGUAUGUCUACAGCUCACUUCCUAAACAGUUAAAUCCGGAGAAGUCUAAUAGAUAAUAGUUGGUGAUCAUAAAUAUAAAUAACCAAUACAUUAGAAUGUGUAGUCAAAAUAGGAAUACUUGCUUUUCACUUACUUCCCACGGGUCGCUGCUGGUGGUAGUCAACACAAAUAAAAAUUUGAACUCAUUUUGUUAUUCAUCUAAAAUGAGAAACUCGGUGAAACAUUGAUUUUCUAAAAUUGCUGCAUAUUUAAAUGUGAUUAUAAUUGCUUUUUAGCAUUUUAAAAUUGUAACAUCGAUACCAAAUGCUUAAGAAUCUAAAGAAUAGUCUAUUGGGGCUGGCCUAUUUUGUGUAAAAUGGUCUGUAUCAUAAUGGAUGACUGAUUAUCCCAUCCACAUUAUUUGGAUUCACUUAAUACUAGGUUUUAACGUUAGGAGAAUAAAACCCUCAAGAAACCUA
RNAcentral lists this long non-coding RNA (1445 nucleotides) under Homo sapiens (human). Its description in RNAcentral is "HSALNT0332957". The record is from RNAcentral. Lineage: Eukaryota; Metazoa; Chordata; Mammalia; Primates; Hominidae.